UUGACCUCAAAUCAGGUAGGACUACCCGCUGAACUUAAGCAUAUCAAUAAGCGGAGGAAAAGAAACUAACAAGGAUUCCCCUAGUAACUGCGAGUGAAGAGGGAAAAGCUCAAAUUUUGAAUCUGGCAGUCGUUUUGGCUGUCCGAGUUGUAAUCUAGAGAAGUGUCUUCCGUGCUGGCCCGUGUACAAGUCUCCUGGAAGGGAGCGUCAUAGAGGGUGAGAAUCCCGUCUUUGACACGGACUACCAGUGCUAUGUGAUGCACUCUCGACGAGUCGAGUUGUUUGGGAAUGCAGCUCAAAAUGGGUGGUAAAUUCCAUCUAAAGCUAAAUACAGGCGAGAGACCGAUAGCGAACAAGUACCGUGAGGGAAAGACGAAAAGAACUUUGAAAAGAGAGUUAAACAGUACGUGAAAUUGCUGAAAGGGAAACGCUUGAUGUCAGUCGCAUUGACUAGGGAUCAACCUUGCUUAAUCGCUCGGUGUACUUCCUAGUUGAUGGGUCAGCAUCAGUUUUGAUCGUCGUACAAAGGCAAAGGGAAAGUGGCACUCUUUAGGGAGUGUGUUAUAGACCCUCGUCGGAUGCGUCGGUUGGGACUGAGGAACUCUGCACGGACUAGCUUUUGUGCAUGGAUGC
RNAcentral lists this ribosomal RNA (633 nucleotides) under uncultured Chamonixia. Its description in RNAcentral is "partial 28S ribosomal RNA". It matches the Rfam family "Eukaryotic large subunit ribosomal RNA", at positions 1 to 626 of the family's 3401-position model. Lineage: Eukaryota; Fungi; Basidiomycota; Agaricomycetes; Boletales; Boletaceae. The record is from RNAcentral.